AGAGUUUGAUCCUGGCUCAGGACGAACGCUGGCGGCACGCUUAACACAUGCAAGUCGAACGAGAGAAGAGGAGCUUGCUUUUCUGAUCUAGUGGCGGACGGGUGAGUAACACGUGAGCAAUCUGCCUUUCAGAGGGGGAUACCGAUUGGAAACGAUCGUUAAUACCGCAUAACAUAAUUGAACCGCAUGAUUUGAUUAUCAAAGAUUUAUCGCUGAAAGAUGAGCUCGCGUCUGAUUAGCUAGUUGGUAAGGUAACGGCUUACCAAGGCGACGAUCAGUAGCCGGACUGAGAGGUUGAUCGGCCACAUUGGGACUGAGACACGGCCCAGACUCCUACGGGAGGCAGCAGUGGGGAAUAUUGCACAAUGGAGGAAACUCUGAUGCAGCGAUGCCGCGUGAGGGAAGAAGGUUUUAGGAUUGUAAACCUCUGUCUUCAGGGACGAAAAAAGACGGUACCUGAGGAGGAAGCUCCGGCUAACUACGUGCCAGCAGCCGCGGUAAUACGUAGGGAGCGAGCGUUGUCCGGAAUUACUGGGUGUAAAGGGAGCGUAGGCGGGAUCGCAAGUCAGAUGUGAAAACUAUGGGCUUAACCCAUAAACUGCAUUUGAAACUGUGGUUCUUGAGUGAAGUAGAGGUAAGCGGAAUUCCUAGUGUAGCGGUGAAAUGCGUAGAUACUAGGAGGAACAUCAGUGGCGAAGGCGGCUUACUGGGCUUUAACUGACGCUGAGGCUCGAAAGCGUGGGGAGCAAACAGGAUUAGAUACCCUGGUAGUCCACGCCGUAAACGAUGAUUACUAGGUGUGGGGGGACUGACCCCUUCCGUGCCGCAGCAAACGCAAUAAGUAAUCCACCUGGGGAGUACGACCGCAAGGUUGAAACUCAAAGGAGUUGACGGGGGCCCGCACAAGCAGUGGAGUAUGUGGAUUAAUUCGAAGCAACGCGAAGAACCUUACCAGGUCUUGACAUCGUAUGCAUAGCUCAGAGAUGAGUGAAAUCUCUUCGGAGACAUAUAGACAGGUGGUGCAUGGUUGUCGUCAGCUCGUGUCGUGAGAUGUUGGGUUAAGUACCGCAACGAGCGCAACCCUUACUGUUAGUUGCUACGCAAGAGCACUCUAGCAGGACUGCCGUUGACAAAACGGAGGAAGGUGGGGAUGACGUCAAAUCAUCAUGCCCCUUAUGACCUGGGCCUCACACGUACUACAAUGGCUGUCAACAGAGGGAAGCAAAGCCGCGAGGUGGAGCGAACCCCUAAAAGCAGUCUUAGUUCGGAUUGUAGGCUGCAACCCGCCUACAUGAAGUCGGAAUUGCUAGUAAUCGCAGAUCAGCAUGCUGCGGUGAAUACGUUCCCGGGCCUUGUACACACCGCCCGUCACGCCAUGGGAGUCGGUAACACCCGAAGCCUGUAGUCUAACCGCAAGGAGGACGCAGUCGAAGGUGGGAUUGAUGACUGGGGUGAAGUCGUAACAAGGUA
RNAcentral lists this ribosomal RNA (1470 nucleotides) under metagenome. RNAcentral's name for it is "bacterial SSU rRNA". It matches the Rfam family "Bacterial small subunit ribosomal RNA". The record is from RNAcentral.